CUUUUCUCUUCCUCCAUGGAUAUAACAUUCUGAUCCAAAGCAGCUCACUCAAUGGAGCAACUCUUUUCCAAUACGACCUAGAUUUCAUUCCUCUUGCCCAAGAGCUUCAUAGUAAAUCAAAGGUUACUUCAUCGUAACGAAAAGUGACGGAGAGGUCGAAGGAAGGCAACCAAGGAUUGGCGUAAACGUUAUGAAGAGUUCAUUGUUGGUUCAUAUUGGUGACUUGAGGUAUGUUAAGGCUAUUCCCUUUUCUUCUUUUGGCAUGAUUCUUUACGAUACGAAAGAACGACAAACAUAUAAACCCCAAAAGUGACUUCCACUCUUAGACAUAUUAGGGGAAUUAUGACUUGAUCCCAAAUGCUGCUACCUUGUUAUAUAUUGAUCAUGUCUAUGAUUCCGACCGCUUUACUUAUUGAACA
Lycium ferocissimum is the source of this 419-nucleotide long non-coding RNA. RefSeq lists it as uncharacterized. The transcript is spliced from 3 exons. NCBI's taxonomy places the organism in Eukaryota, Viridiplantae, Streptophyta, Magnoliopsida, Solanales, Solanaceae. The record is from RefSeq and is a predicted model, not a curated record.